AGUCGAACGGAUCCUUCGGGAUUAGUGGCGGACGGGUGAGUAACACGUGGGAACGUGCCCUUUGGUUCGGAACAACUCAGGGAAACUUGAGCUAAUACCGGAUGUGCCCUUCGGGGGAAAGAUUUAUCGCCAUUGGAGCGGCCCGCGUCUGAUUAGCUAGUUGGUGAGGUAAAGGCUCACCAAGGCGACGAUCAGUAGCUGGUCUGAGAGGAUGAUCAGCCACAUUGGGACUGAGACACGGCCCAAACUCCUACGGGAGGCAGCAGUGGGGAAUCUUGCGCAAUGGGCGAAAGCCUGACGCAGCCAUGCCGCGUGAAUGAUGAAGGUCUUAGGAUUGUAAAAUUCUUUCACCGGGGACGAUAAUGACGGUACCCGGAGAAGAAGCCCCGGCUAACUUCGUGCCAGCAGCCGCGGUAAUACGAAGGGGGCUAGCGUUGCUCGGAAUUACUGGGCGUAAAGGGAGCGUAGGCGGACUGUUAAGUUAGAGGUGAAAGCCCAGGGCUCAACCUUGGAAUUGCCUUUAAUACUGGCAGUCUUGAGUACGGAAGAGGUAUGUGGAACUCCGAGUGUAGAGGUGAAAUUCGUAGAUAUUCGGAAGAACACCAGUGGCGAAGGCGACAUACUGGUCCGUUACUGACGCUGAGGCUCGAAAGCGUGGGGAGCAAACAGGAUUAGAUACCCUGGUAGUCCACGCCCUAAA
This 700-nucleotide ribosomal RNA is filed under the name uncultured bacterium. Its description in RNAcentral is "bacterial SSU rRNA". It matches the Rfam family "Bacterial small subunit ribosomal RNA", at positions 60 to 806 of the family's 1533-position model. The record is from RNAcentral.